UCUCAUUCUUAUCCGCCCCUCCAUCUGCUCUCUCUCUGGAUUCAGAUCUAGGGUUUUGAUUUCAGAGGUAAAGAUUGAAUCAUGAAGAUUUCUCCCAGAUCCGAUUUUGGUCUCGCAGAUCUGAUGUACCUCAGCUUCUGGACAUCAUCUUUACCAAGGUAGUUAGUUAUUAAAUGUUCAUAUGGCUGGCUGGCUGGCAUUUCAAGUAAUCAUCCACAAUUUGUGUGAAUCAUGAAGAUUUCUCCCAGAUCCGAUUUUGGUCUCGUAGAUCUGAUCUGAGAUCUGAGAUAAUCUCACCAGUGCAUGGAUCAGUACACAUUUGGAAAGCCCGAGCAUUAAAAACCUGCAAUUGCAAAGCUUGAGAUGUAUUAGCUUUUGGAAAGCUUGAGAUGUAUUCCUUUUUCUUAAACCUAUACAGUCAAGACAAAUAUUGAAGACAGUUUCAAGUUUGGCUUUAUUGCUGCUGAUAAAAGAAAAAUAACUGCUACAACUUGGGUACCCAUACUGGCAAUUAGAAUUACGUCGUGGUCACAUACGAAAGGUUAAAAGGAUAGGUAAAAAAGUAAGAAUGGUUGACUUUGAUUAGUGAAACUGAGCCAUUUCAACUCACUAGACCUUGAAGUUGAACCCAACUAUAUUAUUAAUCUUGUUUUUUGAGUAAAUAUGUUGGAGAGGAACAAGAGAGAGGAAGCUUGGAGAGGCUGGUUUGAAUCUAAUGGGCAAAACAUCUACUUUUAGCAUACAAUGGAGGAUUCUGAUGUUCUUAUGAUUUGGCUUCGUGUGAGCAAUGGUGGUUGCUUCGGAAUCAUGAAAAGGCAGCAAGCCUGCAUCAAGUGGAUGCAUGUUUCUCUACAAGUGAAGUAAAGACUUGCAGCAGUUACUGAAUACUGCAAGUCCUUUUCUUGUGAUCUCAGGCAACGGCUGACAUCUUAGUAGUGGUUUUAUGUGCUUCAAUACUAUUUGGUCAGUGAUGCCAGUGAUUGGCAUUCGCAGCAUUUUUGAGAAAUUUUCAAUGAAAACGACAUUCAACAAGAGAGUUUCGAAAUAUCAAUUGGACAUGGUUUUUAUA
Molecule: long non-coding RNA, 1069 nt
Filed under: Helianthus annuus (common sunflower)
Lineage: Eukaryota; Viridiplantae; Streptophyta; Magnoliopsida; Asterales; Asteraceae
Description: hypothetical non coding rna
Source: RNAcentral